This is a long non-coding RNA of Oncorhynchus tshawytscha (Chinook salmon), 1183 nucleotides long. The record is from Ensembl. Lineage: Eukaryota; Metazoa; Chordata; Actinopteri; Salmoniformes; Salmonidae.
UACUUGCAUACAAAGGUUGGAUGGAAACCUGGCUAUAGACAGUCACUCAAUUUGCCCCUGUCAGCUAAAUGUUUUUUGGGACUGGUAAAUUAGUCUAGCCAGCUAUCUAAACUUGUAGUAAUCAUGAUUGAAUUAUAGCCCUGGGGCCCCCCAUUGAUUUUGUUCGUCACUCUCACUCAGAUAUUAAAAACUGCAAAUGUUUCUCCCCUUUGGCAAAAUGAGUAGAAUUAAAAUGGGGAAAUAUUCUUCUGCCCCAUGGAUUUUUUGUUUUAGAAUUGUAGCAAAGUUGCUUUAAAACUGUAAAAUGUUCUUUGAGCGAUGGGUAACGAUGCUUCGAGGGUGACUGUUGUUGAUGUGUGCAGAGGGGCCCUGGUUCGCGCCCGGGUAUGGGCGAGGGGACGGUCUAAAGUUAUACUGUUACAGGUACACAGACCCGCGAGCCAUGGCGGCCCCUCAUUAGUUUUUUGUGUGGCCCCCCCACACCCAUCAAAGUUGAUGUUCCUUAUCUGGAGAAACCUGCUGGUGGUGAACCAUCACUAGAGGUCCUACAGUGAGUCCCAGAUGGCAACCUAUUCCCUAUACAGUGCACUACUUUGGACCGGGUUCCGUAAGGGACCACCGGGUUCUGAUCAAUAGUAGUGCACCAUAUAGGGACUAGGAUGCCAUUUGGGAUAAUACCCUGACAGUGUGUUACCCUGAAGGCUGAACCUGCGAGUGCUGUUGUGCUGUGUUUCCAUCAACAAAGAGACAAAGAUGAUAUCCAUUUAGGGCCGUGUUCGGUUGGAGUGUGGUAUCGAGCUCCUCAGAAAGACUGCCUGUGGAUGCUGGCUGGUAUACAUGUUAUCUCAGAGACUCCCUGUGGAGCUGGCUGGGUGAAUUAAAUCAUUUGGAUAUAGCACAUAGGGUCCCUUGGGUUACUGUCUAGCUAACAAGCUUUAAAAAAACCAUCUCCAUUGAAUAGAAUAUGGAUGGCCAUGGCAUUAUGCUUCUGCACUUUACAGUGGGGUUUUAAAACCACACACAUGAAAUGUUCUGUUCCUCUGCGAUACUCGGGCUGAUAGGUCCUGUUCCUCUGCGAUACUCGGGCUGAAACAUCUUGUUCCUCUGCGAUACUCGGGCUGAAACAUCCUGUUCCUCUGCGAUACUCGGGCUGAUAGGUCCUGUUCCUCUGCGAUACUCGGGC